GUCAGUAACCCAGCCCUAAAGGGACUGGGCUUGCAAGAGUAUCAAGCAAGCCGUACUGACCAGACCACCCUGAGCGAAGUCGAAGGGUAGCCGUUAUUUUAUUUGAGUCACGACACCCACCGAAUGCGUAGCCCCUUCGGGGUUCAGCAGUCGCUCAUGGGGGAAACCCCCAAGACCGCGCUGCUUCACUAGUUCCCUGCUCUGUCAUUUGCAAUUAAACAGUUUUAAGGUCACUGAAACAGUGUUGCAAGUCUAAAAAGCUCUUAUAACAGGUCGUUCGCGCCAGCGUGCCGGAGGCAUCUAGCUAACAUUAC
Molecule: non-coding RNA, 314 nt
Organism: Aphanizomenon flos-aquae
Lineage: Bacteria; Bacillati; Cyanobacteriota; Cyanophyceae; Nostocales; Aphanizomenonaceae
Source: Rfam